Molecule: long non-coding RNA, 393 nt
Filed under: Oryza sativa Indica Group (long-grained rice)
Lineage: Eukaryota; Viridiplantae; Streptophyta; Magnoliopsida; Poales; Poaceae
Description: lncRNA OsMH63_07G003080
Source: RNAcentral
AUUAUUGGACGGUUUGGAUUAUCAUCAGCACAGAAAAAUGCCUACUGCAGCUCUACUUCUCCACAACAACGAAGGCAUGCGAAUACACUACUGCGUCGAUUUAGGGACAAAAUUAUCCAAGCCUGGAGGCAUGAAGAAACACGUGAGAUGAUACUGAAUGUCUCUGCAAUGCUGGGUUUGGUUGCUGUCGUCGCCGUCGUCGGAUGCAUUAUGAAGCCCCACUUUGAGGCCCAGCUAGAGAAGCUUGCCCAAGCUUUUGUUUUAUUGUUUCUACUGGCUCUACUUCAAGCAAUGGUAGAAAUGCAAAAGGAACGACGGCAAAAGAGCCUAGAAGAUGAUCAUGCUGAUGAUUCUGAAGAGAGCAAGAAGAAGCUGAAGCCAACAAAAACUUAG